This 1354-nucleotide long non-coding RNA is filed under the name Elaeis guineensis (African oil palm). RNAcentral describes it as "long non-coding RNA (EGUI_LNC011175)". The record is from RNAcentral. Lineage: Eukaryota; Viridiplantae; Streptophyta; Magnoliopsida; Arecales; Arecaceae.
GAAGGAUGUUUUUUCAUGAUGUCUUUUAAGGUUUGGAUGUUGCAUCUCAUCUGACUUAUGCAGAAGACUUGGUGCCUUUAUAAAAAAAAUUUGUUCAACCUUACUAAUGUUCUUUCUUCAAUGUGAUAAUUAGUAUUUCUUGAACCAGAGACGAGGUAAAUUUCCAUCAUCCAUGUUGUAUUUGUUUGGUCAUACCCACUUUAGCUUGUGGUACUUGACACCUGCUUUUUCAUUUUUGUUGAUCCAAAUUGGACAAUGUUGCAAGGAGUAAACAACAUAUCAGUAAGUACUGCUUUUGCUGCGAAAUUAGUCUUUAACAAUUCUUUUCUCUGAUUUGAUUUUUUUUUCUUUACACUAUUUAAUUCAAAUAUGUUGUUCCUUAGCAGAUGUCAUAUAAAAUAAUCUGCUUUUGAUAUCAUCUAAUAGAUUUUCUGAUGAUCCAUGUGUUUUCAUCUGUGUUUUCAAUUUAGAGGAACAUCUUAGUAAAAUCACAUUGGAUUCUCUGUAUAUGAAUCAGAAUCCUAACAGGUUUUUCCGGAUUAAAGUCGAAACCUAAUAGGCAUUAGGGAAUCCAACCAAAUAUAAGCACCACCACAAGAGAGAAAAUCCUCUAUAAGCACACUCCAAAAUAAGAGUAUUAUAUUUUCAAUAUUGAAACAAAGGAAUGCAUAUGAGUGCGAAUGCAUAUGAGUGCUUAGACCUCCUCACAAUUAUAGACUUCAUGGGUAUGUCAUAAUUCCUUCUAGGAUUCAGACACAUUGAAAUCUUACCAAAAGCUAUUGACAAAAGUCGAUUUCAUAGAGACCGGACACAUCAAGAAUCUUCAACCCUCAACUAUUUUAGAUUAACGAAUGGAGCCUCUCUGACAUGACUCGAGGUCUUGAUGGGAUUGUGAUCAGAUCCUUAUUUAUCUCACCCUGCACUUUCUAUAGACUUUUCUUUCUAACCCUCAAGGCUCUUGUUAUGAUGAUUUUGUUAGAGGGUGUGCUCUUGAUUGUUUGAAGGAAUGAAUGAACAAAAGUCUUCUUGCUGCCAUCAAGCCUUUGAAGUGGUGUAAAGCUAUUUAUUCCUUACUGGAGCAAGUCCAAAGGAUUUGUAGUUACUCUAAGAGGCAUAGCUAGAAUUUUUGUGUUUCAUUGAUGGGAAGGGCAAGUGCUAUGAUUUUGUCAUAUUCAUUCUCUUCAAUUAAUAGAUUAAAAAAAUGAAUUAAAAGAUUUACUCAUUGGAGUUUGUUGUUAUGAAGCUAGAAGAGUAAAGGGCAUAGUUUAGGUCAGAUAUUCUAACUUGAAGCAUAGAUAUACUCGAAAAUAAGGAGAUGGAAUUUGAAAUAUUAGAUUAAAAAAAAACUUGACCA